UCAAACCCACAAACCAUGAGAUCAUGACCUGAGCUGAAACCAAGAGUCAGAUGCUUAACAGACUGAGCCACCCAGAUGUCCCAUAAGUACUAAGAUUUAAAGCAUGGGGCAAGUUUUGGUAGGGAAUAAGACUUGAGAUAGGUUAUGAUAAAGAGAUCAUGGAAGACCAUAUGUGUUACUUCAAAGUUUGAAAUUUAACAUGUAAGUAAUGAGGGAUCAUGGAAAGGCUUUAGGGCUGGGUGUGGCAAAAUAAUACUUGUUUUUAGGCAGGUUUAUGAAGGAUGAAUAGAGUUAAGGUCAUGCGCAGGGAACACAUUAGGAGGUUCAUGGAAUAGGUCCAAAAGAUAUGAGGAGGGCGUUGGCAAGGGCUAUAGUAAUAGUGAGGGCAGGAUGGCCCAUCAUGGGAACCCUAUACAUACUGAGAUCCUCUCUCCUGGGACACAUGAAAAGGUAUCUAUCAGAGAGUGUUAAGGACCAAACUGUGUCCCUCACAAAUGCGUAUGUUGAAGCCCUAACCUCUGAUGUGACUAUCUUUGGAGAAAGGGUUCUUAAGGGGUAAUUAAGUUUAAAUGAGUUCAUAAGGAGGGGGUAAUUUAAACACUGGUGUUCUUAUAAGAGGAGGAAACAGCAUUGCAGAGUUCACUGUACCCCCUCCUUUUUUCCCCCUUAUUCUCUCCCUUCCUCCCUCUGCAUAUACGCAGAGGAAAGACCAUGUGAGAACACAGCAAGAUGGCUUGUUUUUGAGUCAGGAAAAGAAGUCUCAACAGAAACUAACCCUGAUGGAUGCCAUGACCUCGGACUUCCUUCCUCCAGAACUGUGAUAAAAUCGAUUCUGUUGUUUAAGGCACCUAGUCUGUCGUAUUUUGUUAUAGACAACAAACUGAUACAGAAGGUUUUUUGGCAGAUGUGAGAACUAAAAAAAAUAAUGCAGAAAGAAGACAGUAAGAAAAAGUAAUGAGGUAAAUAAAAAAAUGCAGAAAGAAGACAGUAAGAAAAAGUAACUAGGUAAACAAAGUCCUGAACAAGCAGAAACUGGGAGGCACAAAGGCAGGGGUAGAGGAAGCUUUCAUUUGUUAGCUUCAUAGCAUGAAAUAGAGGAGAUGCGGGAGUUCCUUGUGUAAGAGAGUUCUAGCACAAAGAGUGACAGACAUUUGUUUUUGAGACUAUUCUAGAGUUGUGAUUGGAUCAGCGGCACUGUUGCCCACCUACUAUUGUAUCCUGAAAUCUGUUUUUAUCCCAGAAGCUGUGUCACAUCCAAGGCUAUUUCUUGUGUGACUUGAUUCCAGGUAUGGUGUAAGAGCUAUGCCCCUGCCUUCCUCUGGCCUCAGCUGGAGCAGGCCUUUUCGCCUGCACGCUGAAAGUGCCAAAAAAAGCGUGGGAGGAAGAGGAGAUGUCAGGAUGAGCAGAAUGGAAAUAACGACUACAGACUGACUCAAGGAAUCUUGGGAUGUGAUGUGACAGAAUGGCCUUCGCCACCAGUGCAGCAAGCAUGAUGUGCAAAGAUGAAUGGAUUUGCAGCUGUAGGCAGUGUUGCGGUUUUAACAUUAUUACUCUCACCAUUGGGAAAACAUCUGUGGGAAAUAAGAAGAGAGGAUAGUUAUCUUAAUAAAACUGAGAAGAGAUCUUGAAAGAAACGCUGCUGUAUCCAUCUUUGGAGGGCUUUGUGAAGAGAACCAUCAUGUUUCAAUCAUUUUGACCAUAUAUUCCAAUAAAACUCUGAAAUAUCUCUUA
Molecule: long non-coding RNA, 1731 nt
Organism: Leopardus geoffroyi (Geoffroy's cat)
Lineage: Eukaryota; Metazoa; Chordata; Mammalia; Carnivora; Felidae
Exons: 2
Source: RefSeq, a predicted model, not a curated record